UGUGGAAUUCGCCCUUGUGCCAGCCGCCGCGGUAAUACGUAGGUGGCAAGCGUUGUCCGGAAUUAUUGGGCGUAAAGGGCUCGCAGGCGGUUUCUUAAGUCUGAUGUGAAAGCCCCCGGCUCAACCGGGGAGGGUCAUUGGAAACUGGGGAACUUGAGUGCAGAAGAGGAGAGUGGAAUUCCACGUGUAGCGGUGAAAUGCGUAGAGAUGUGGAGGAACACCAGUGGCGAAGGCGACUCUCUGGUCUGUAACUGACGCUGAGGAGCGAAAGCGUGGGGAGCGAACAGGAUUAGAUACCCUGGUAGUCCACGCCGUAAACGAUGAGUGCUAAGUGUUAGGGGGUUUCCGCCCCUUAGUGCUGCAGCUAACGCAUUAAGCACUCCGCCUGGGGAGUACGGUCGCAAGACUGAAACUCAAAGGAAUUGACGGGGGCCCGCACAAGCGGUGGAGCAUGUGGUUUAAUUCGAAGCAACGCGAAGAACCUUACCAGGUCUUGACAUCCUCUGACAAUCCUAGAGAUAGGACGUCCCCUUCGGGGGCAGAGUGACAGGUGGUGCAUGGUUGUCGUCAGCUCGUGUCGUGAGAUGUUGGGUUAAGUCCCGCAACGAGCGCAACCCUUGAUCUUAGUUGCCAGCAUUCAGUUGGGCACUCUAAGGUGACUGCCGGUGACAAACCGGAGGAAGGUGGGGAUGACGUCAAAUCAUCAUGCCCCUUAUGACCUGGGCUACACACGUGCUACAAUGGACAGAACAAAGGGCAGCGAAACCGCGAGGUUAAGCCAAUCCCACAAAUCUGUUC
This 798-nucleotide ribosomal RNA is filed under the name uncultured bacterium. RNAcentral's name for it is "bacterial SSU rRNA". It matches the Rfam family "Bacterial small subunit ribosomal RNA", at positions 480 to 1287 of the family's 1533-position model. The record is from RNAcentral.